AACGGAAAGGCCUGUACUUGUACAGGUACUCGAGUGGCGAACGGGUGAGUAACACGUGGGUGAUCUGCCCUGCACUAUGGGAUAAGCCCGGGAAACUGGGUCUAAUACCAUAUAGGACCACUUCUUGGAUGUUGUGGUGGAAAGCUUUUGCGGUGUGGGAUGAGCCUGCGGCCUAUCAGCUUGUUGGUGGGGUAAUGGCCUACCAAGGCGGCGACGGGUAUCCGGCCUGAGAGGGUGUACGGACACAUUGGGACUGAGAUACGGCCCAGACUCCUACGGGAGGCAGCAGUGGGGAAUAUUGCACAAUGGGCGCAAGCCUGAUGCAGCGACGCCGCGUGGGGGAUGACGGCCUUCGGGUUGUAAACUCCUUUCGCUAUCGACGAAGCCACCUUUGGUGGUGACGGUAGGUAGAUAAGAAGCACCGGCUAACUACGUGCCAGCAGCCGCGGUAAUACGUAGGGUGCAAGCGUUGUCCGGAAUUACUGGGCGUAAAGAGCUCGUAGGUGGUUUGUCGCGUCGUCUGUGAAAUCCCGGGGCUUAACUUCGGGCGUGCAGGCGAUACGGGCAUAACUUGAGUGCUGUAGGGGAGACUGGAAUUCCUGGUGUAGCGGUGAAAUGCGCAGAUAUCAGGAGGA
This 635-nucleotide ribosomal RNA is filed under the name bacterium 17RD. Its description in RNAcentral is "bacterial SSU rRNA". It matches the Rfam family "Bacterial small subunit ribosomal RNA", at positions 65 to 705 of the family's 1533-position model. The record is from RNAcentral.